UUGAACAUGCCAUCAAAGUUUUUACUGCCCUACCACUGCUCUUCCCAUCUGGCUCUGCAGCACCCAAGAAACUGGUCCCAAUCAGUGAGGCUCUUUUCCACGUCCUUACGCCCUCUGAGGAUCCUGAUACCUACAUCCACUGGCGUGUGCUUUCUAGUCCUGUCUAGCUGAUUGAUUAACUUUGCAGUGCUAUGGACUUCUCAGCACAGUUGGUCCACCACUAUCCCAAACUCAGGGAUGGGGGUGGUUAUGAACUGCUUCAUAUCAUUGGUUCAACCAGAGACAAGGUAUGGGGGAGUUCUGCUGAUGAAAAUGAUGGACCAAUAGUUGAGUGCAUGUAUUGCCACAACAGUUUUAAACAUUCCAAUAUGCAGGAUCACAUAGACAUCUUUACAAGACAUUUUGGCAACACAGAAACUCCCACAGUACAAGCUGAGGCUGACGACCAUGGAAAGAUGGACACCAGAACAGAAAGACAGGCAACACCAGAGUGCAGUGGUCAUAGACCCACACAAAAUGAGACUGACAUGUACAGGCAGAUGCAGAUUGAGAGCAGCCAACACACUAAGAGACAGACUGAUAGAUGGCCAGAAACCGACAGUGACCACCACAGACUCCAAAGGCAAUCGAGACAGAGAGAAGAACAGCCAUCAACCAGCAGUAACAAUGGUUCAGUCAACAUCUUUCAAUCUCCUGAAAAAAGUCAUAAUGCCGGUAUGUUUAAGAGCUUUUCUUAUAGUUGACCCUUUUUCAUUCUCCAAAGUGUUGAUAUGGUCUUAUACAGUAGUUUGCCUUGCUAAUAACGUCAGUGAUUGAUCUUGGAGGUUAAGAGCAUUGUCUAAAGCCUUGAAUAUACUCGGGAGCAAACGCGGACAAGGACAGCUGAGAACACGGACUACUUCUAUUCAUACUCCCUUCUGCAGUCAGCAUGGCGGACACGUUCCACACAUGCACAGUAGAUCAGUUGGUGCCCUGGUAGUGCUAGUUGGUCUGUGGACCUGGCGCAGUCAUAAAAAAGGAGAGGCACGUGGACCCUACGCGUACCCCUCUGAUGAAGAUGCCUUGUACUGUGCCUGAGCACGAUUGUCCCCACUGGGCUGUGCUCACACUGCACCUAACAAUCCGAGCCAUAUGUUUACAUCAUACCAUAUAUUGAUUUGUUUGUGGCAGCCCGCUCAACCACUGAUAUAAUAAUACUAAUAAUUAUUAUUAUUAAAUGUAUAAUAACUGACUUUUCUUUCUCUCUCUAAUAUAAUUUUCAGAAUGCUAAGCUGAAAAGGAUCCAGAAAAGGCAGCUGAGACUUACAGAAGGGAUUUACUGCAACAAUCAGAAACAUACAGGAGUCUGAAAUAUGUAAUGGAUAUGCAUGAGAGCCCAAAGGAGAAAGAGUGUGCAGUUGUGGUUUUCUACAAGCAGAAUAACAUCAACUGGGCCAGCCCAUUUUGUGUGGUUUUGAAAGGUACUAUUCAGUGUUUCCAACAGAAUUGGAUCGUAUAAGUGAUUAUAUAGUUUUAUUAAAUAAUAUAGUAUAUAAGGUGUUCCGCUGAUAUUUCAUAGUUUUCACUGAGAUUUUUGCUCUGUUUUUCUAAAUUAAUCACACCUCAAUAACCCCAGAAAGCUUAGCCUAGAAAUCUAGACGCACCCUAGUGGCAGCCAACUGUAUUUUGCAGACAGGGUUUAGUCUACCAACUCUCCGUUGACUUUCGAGCUGGACAAACCUAAAUUGUGUCAGGCCAAUCACAUUGUGAAUUGAGUAGGUGGGGCAGGCUUAGCAUAAUGACGACGAAUUCCCUGCUACUUGGAUUUAAGGUGUUUUUUUUUUUUUUUGAGAAAAGCAAAGAACGCCACUUAAGUCAUUCUUAAAAAAGGAAGAUGAGUUAUUAGUUUUGCCGGCCAGAUAUGGCAAAAGUUGAAUCUAUCAAAUGACAUUAGCUCAGCUGUUGGCAAAACACUCUGGUCCUAUUGCGUGCAGAGAGAAUUUGAGUUUUUUUUUUCCCACAAAAAAUGGCCAAAUCCACAGAAUACAAAUACACUCAAAAUCUGUGGUAAUGGCAGUAUAAGGAUGUGGUUGGAUGCAGUAUGUGGUUACUAUUUGUUAGAGGUGUCAGUAAGUGGCAUAUUCAUUCAAGCACAAAUGAUUUGUAAUACUUGUAAUGUAUUCAUUCCAAAAAAAUAAUGUACUACAUCUCUCAACUCGUGUUACAGGUGAUCCCGCAGGAGAUGGGAGAUGUUAUGUUUGUACUGGCUACUGUAUACAGGCCACCAGGGCACCAUACAAACUUUAUUAAAGAGUGUGGUGAUUUUAUAUCUUAGUUAGU
Carassius auratus (goldfish) is the source of this 2319-nucleotide long non-coding RNA. The record is from Ensembl. NCBI's taxonomy places the organism in Eukaryota, Metazoa, Chordata, Actinopteri, Cypriniformes, Cyprinidae.